GUUUGUGGCCAGUGAUCUUGAAAUCCACGUUCUCCUGACCUCAAGUGCACUUUCCCCACCCACCCGCGCUUGCUUGCGUUUGUUGUCUUUGGACUUGGUCACGGUCUCUACCCAGGUUCCCCUUCUGGCCGGUGAGUGGACGCUGCGGGGUGCCCUGCGGCUCCCGGUGCAGGAAGGAGCCCAGCUCUCAGCCACCGAGUAUCUCCCGCCACCCCGUCACUGGGGCCGAGGUCUCCUCUGCGUGCCGACCCGCCCCCACUCCAGCGCCCUCCAGACCUGGGAGAGAACAAGUUUCUAGCACUUUAAGCCUCCAAGUUGAUGAAAAUACAAGAAGCCAAACUUCCUGAAGUCCCCGAGUUUCUGGACCUCAGUUUAUUAAGAUAAAAUGAGAAAAAGUGGAGAAAAUGGGAAAAAACAAAAAAGGAGGAGAAACUAAAACUGAAAGAAAAAAAAUGGUAAGACAAAUGAAAGAAAGAAGAAAGGAAAAAAAACCAACGAAAUGGCAAACAGUUUGGGGCUUUUUUCCUAGGCGUUGCUUUUUCUUAAAGCAUUUCAGCUUCUUUGUGAAACGUCCAGACACGGAGUACUCACUCAUGGUGAAAAUGAUGAGACCUAGCUACAGCCUCAGACAUGAGGCGGCCUUCCUGACGAGAUCAGAAGAUUCCAACCAGAGGUUGACAAAAUUUGGAGAUGAAAAGUGAAGAGCUUGGAGACCUCAGGGGUCUCCAGGACCCGCUGGGUGAGGGUCCUGUGUGUCUGGCCAGGAUUCCGAGUGCCCGGAGGGAAGCCCGCAGGCGGGGCUGCUCAGGAAGCCCUAGGGGCCGGGUCCCUGAAGACGCGAGCAUCUCUGGGUCAGCGUGCUCUCAGCACCCCAGCCCGCCCCCAGCCCAGCCCCAGCAGGCAGGGAACCGGCAAUGAUGGCUCGGCUCCCAGAAGCUCACAGUCCAGGCCAGGCAGGACUCAAUACACCUCUAGAUCGACGUCCAGGAAGGAACCCGCACGGAGGUCAGGAGCCUCCCCUGCCCAGCUUCCUGGGGCGCCAAGAGCGUGAAUGGUCACAAGGCGCUGAUGAGACCUCUGCGCGCCCUGCAAACGGGCCUCGGCCGAGCACGCCAGAAGUUAUUAAUGGCUCGGGGGAGCCUUCUCCUGGGAAGGAGGUGAUGUGUAGAGAUUGAAGGCUUCUUUGUCUUCAGGGUCUCAGAGACACACAGCACGACGAGAAGGCAACUGCUUCCUGAGCUCGAAAAACGCCAACACCUUCAGUCAACCUGAACCCAUCUGCGGUCAUCCCAGACGCCAGCUGAUGGGAACUCACUCCCCUAGGGACUUGGGCCCCCACCUCCGGGCUGGAAGCUGCAUCCCGGCUGCCAAGUGGCUGCCUCCUUCCUUUCUUCUGCUGCUGUUUCUCACCCCGAGUGGAGUGUGCAGAGUGCUGGGGACCCCAGACCCGCGGUCAUCUGCUGCUUUCCCAUCCCCUCCUGCCCCCCCCAGCGGCCAAGGGCCUGGAUUUGGGGCCAUCCUGGGGAGACGGGCCCAUCCAUGACCGCCCAUGUGGGUUGAGGCACGUGCACAGUCCAUGGUGCACCAGGGGCCGCCAAGGUCAGCGGGCUGUGGUUUCUGAUUCGACAGGGGUGGCGGCAGCAGUGGACACAGCCCAGUGGCCCCAGUGUGCACAGGCUGGGAAGUGUCUUCCAGCCGGUCUUCUUUCUCCCAUUCCUGGGAAUGCAUGUACCCUGAGUCAGGAGAGAGGCGGGCCUGGGCACCCUCACCAGUGGCAGUGUCCACCUAGUAGCUCUUUAGCAAGUGAGGAGACAGGGGCACGGAGGAGCAGUAUCCUGCUCUUGGGCUGAAAGGGCCUCCCGGGAGAGCAGUGUGGUCGUUAGUGUGUGUUUGACACUUGCUGUGUGCCCGGCUCCCAUGGGUGAGCCCAGUCACGAGUGCUUUCCUUCCACACCUCCCUGGCCAUGUGGUCUGGGGGUUGCCCAGUCCUCCCACCAGUAACGGGGCCAAGAUGCAGGCCUUCCUACCCCACAGAGCCUGGCUCCCUCAGUGCCCCAAAACAUCAGCCACACUGUGGUCAUCAUUGAGACGAGCAAAGGCCCACAGGGGCAGAGGACCUCCCCUGCAGCAUGGACCACAGAAUGCAGGGGCCCUGGGUCCCAGUCCCCCUGCCAGAUGUCCCUGCCCCAGGCGACCACCCCUGGAGGACCCGGUGCUCUGUGAGCAGCACUGUCCCCCUGCUGGCUGAUGCUGGGGGCACGUCUUCCUCGAUGCCUGAUCUGGGUGGAUCCUCCCUGAGCCCUGGCGGGCGGGUGGGUGGGAGGAUGUGGGAGAUGAAAUCUGCAAGAUGCCAGCUCCAUGAGGCCUUCCCCGAUGGAUGGAUGGACGGAUGGAGAGUGGCGAGGGGGAGGCUUUGGAUUCCUGCCCACUGCACGCAGCACAGGGCCUGGCUGUAGUAGGCGCUCAAUAAAUGUUUGCUGAGCUGAA
Molecule: long non-coding RNA, 2487 nt
Organism: Dama dama (fallow deer)
Lineage: Eukaryota; Metazoa; Chordata; Mammalia; Artiodactyla; Cervidae
Exons: 4
Source: RefSeq, a predicted model, not a curated record